GCCAGAGCUCUCGCCAAAGCGGCGUUCCCAGGCUGCUUCUGCCCCCCCUCCCCGCCGGCCCCUGCGGUUCGACUUACCGCCGUCCAGUUUGACGACCUGGGGCAAGCGAUAUUACAUGCUUUCCCACCAAUUUGGUAUUCCCCAGAUGCUACUGAUCCAAAUCUAAUGAGAAGAGAUACAAAAAGAUAAUCUUAGGCUAAGGACUUAAUUGGAGAUACUCUUUAGAUGAUAAUACGCAUUACUUCAUUCACUUCAAAAUGGAUUGGUUGGCAGAAAAUGUGUAAUACAAUGAAAAUGGAUUGAAGAAGGUUUCACUGAAGCAGGACUGAGGUCACAAUGACUAUGAUAAUAUGGCAGCAAGAAGUUACUUAUGGCAUCCCAUUGUUUAUCUCAGUACCCAAAACUAUCAGAAGGUGGAAAAGAUUUGUGUAUUACUUCCCAAUGCUUGCAUUUUUUGUCAUGUUAAUUUACGAUGUCAUUAUUUCCUCCAGAAAUCAAUAAAGGUAUC
Molecule: long non-coding RNA, 508 nt
Organism: Ahaetulla prasina
Lineage: Eukaryota; Metazoa; Chordata; Lepidosauria; Squamata; Colubridae
Exons: 4
Source: RefSeq, a predicted model, not a curated record